Molecule: RNA transcript, 945 nt
Organism: Elephantulus edwardii (Cape elephant shrew)
Lineage: Eukaryota; Metazoa; Chordata; Mammalia; Macroscelidea; Macroscelididae
Gene name: cytochrome b-c1 complex subunit 1, mitochondrial-like
Exons: 2
Source: RefSeq, a predicted model, not a curated record
CGGGUGGCCUUGGAGCAGUCCACCCAGCCUACCUGCACGGUGGGAGUGUGGAUUGAUGCUGGAAGCCCGUGCAAGACUGAAAAAAACAAUGGUGCAGGCUACUUUUUGGAGCACCUGGCUUUCAAGGGAACAAAGAAUCGACCUGGGGGUGAUCUGGAGAAAGAGGUGGAGAGCAUGGGAGCCCAUCUUAAUGCCUACAGCACUAGGGAACACACAGAUUACUAUAUCAAGGCACUGUCCAUGGACUUGCCAAAAGCUGUGGAAAUUCUGGCAGACAUUGUGCAAAACUGUUAGCCUGGAAGACUCACAGAUUGAGAAGGAGUGUGAUGUGAUCCUACGUGAGCUGCAGGAGAAUGAUGCUUCCCUGCGGGAUGUGGUCUUUGACUAUCUGCAUGCCACAGCAUCCCAGGGCAACCCCCUGGCUCAUCCUGUGGAGGGGCCCAGUGAGAACGUCAGGAAGCUGUCACGUGCAGACUUGACCGACUACCUCAGGAGACAUCACAAGGCCCCACGAAUGGUGCUUGCAGCAGCUGGAGAAGUGGAACACCGUCAGCUCCUCGACCUCGCCCAGAAGCACUUCGGUAGCAUCUCUCAGACGUACCCAGAGGACGCUGUUCCCACCAUCCAGCCGUGCCGCUUCACCGGCAGCGAGAUCCUCCAUCACGAUGAUGCCCUUCCCCUGGCCCAUGUGGCCAUUGCAGUGGAGGGACCUGGCUGGGCAAACCCGGAUUACGUUGCCCUCCAAGUGGCCAAUGCCAUUAUUGGCCACUCUGACUGCACCUACUGUGGUGGCAAGAACCUGUCCAGCCCUCUGGCUGCUGUUGCUGUGGCCAAAAAGCUGUGCCAGAGUUUCCAGGCCUUCAACAUCUGCUAUGCGGAAACAGGGCUCCUGGGGGCACACUUUGUGACCACAUUAGCAUUAUCCCAGGCUACUUCCUGAGAUAG